CAGCCGCCGCGGUAAUGCGUAGGUGGCAAGCGUUGUCCGGAAUUAUUGGGCGUAAAGCGCGCGCAGGCGGAUAGGUCAGUCUGUCUUAAAAGUUCGGGGCUUAACCCCGUGAUGGGAUGGAAACUGCUGAUCUAGAGUAUCGGAGAGGAAAGUGGAAUUCCUAGUGUAGCGGUGAAAUGCGUAGAUAUUAGGAAGAACACCAGUGGCGAAGGCGACUUUCUGGACGAAAACUGACGCUGAGGCGCGAAAGCGUGGGGAGCAAACAGGAUUAGAUACCCCGGUAGUCCCUGUCUCUUAUACA
RNAcentral lists this ribosomal RNA (301 nucleotides) under uncultured bacterium. RNAcentral describes it as "partial 16S ribosomal RNA". It matches the Rfam family "Bacterial small subunit ribosomal RNA", at positions 509 to 808 of the family's 1533-position model. The record is from RNAcentral.